Molecule: ribosomal RNA, 927 nt
Filed under: Buchnera aphidicola
Lineage: Bacteria; Pseudomonadati; Pseudomonadota; Gammaproteobacteria; Enterobacterales; Erwiniaceae
Description: bacterial SSU rRNA
Rfam family: Bacterial small subunit ribosomal RNA
Source: RNAcentral
AGCAAUUAAUACUAAUUAACUUGAGUAUAAAAGAAGAAAUUAGAAUUUCGGGAGUAGCAGUGAAAUGCUUAGAUAUCUGAAAGAAUACUAGUGGCGAAGGCGUUUUUCUAUUUUAAUACUGACACUGAUACACGAAAGCAUGGGGAGCAAACAGGAUUAGAUACCCUGGUAGUCCAUGCAGUAAACGAUGUCAACUAUUUAUUAAAUAACAUAUUUAUAAUAAUUUAUUUUUUAAAAAAUUUUAAUAUGUAUUUUUAGUAAAAAAGCUAACGCGUUAAGUUGACCGCCUGGGGAUUACGACCGCAAGGUUAAAACUCAAAUGAAUUGACGGGGGCUCGCACAAGCGGUGGAGCAUGUGGUUUAAUUCGAUACAACACGAAAAAUCUUACCUACUCUUGACAUCCAAAGAAUUUAUUAGAGAUAAUAAAGCUUUUUAAGCUUUGAGACAGGUGCUGCAUGGCUGUCGUCAGCUCGUGUUGUGAAAUGUUGGGUUAAGUCCUAUAACGAGCGCAACCCUUAUCUUAUUUUACUAAAAUAAUCUUAGAACUAAUAAGAAACUGCCUAUGAUAAAUUGGAGGAAGGUGAGGACGACGUCAAGUCAUCAUGGCCCUUAUGGGUAGGGCUACACACGUGCUACAAUGAGUAAAACAAAAAGUUGUGCUAUACGGUAACGUAAUGCUAAUCUUUAAAAUUACUCUUAGUUCGGAUUGGAAUCUGUAACUCGAUUCCAUGAAGUUGGAAUCGCUAGUAAUCGUAAAUCAGAAUGUUACGGUGAAUACGUUCUCGAGCCUUGUACACACCGCCCGUCACACCAUGGAAGUAAAUUGUAUCAGAAAUAAUUUAAUUAUUAUAACGGUAUGAUUUGUAACUGGGGUGAAGUCGUAACAAGGUAGCCGUAGGGGAACCUGUGGCUGGAUAUAAAUAUAU